GAUCCUGGCUCAGGAUGAACGCUAGCCACAGGCUUAACACAUGCAAGUCGAGGGGCAGCAUGGUCUUAGCUUGCUAAGGCCGAUGGCGACCGGCGCACGGGUGAGUAACGCGUAUCCAACCUGCCGUCUACUCUUGGACAGCCUUCUGAAAGGAAGAUUAAUACAAGAUGGCAUCAUGGGUCCACAUGUUCACAUGAUUAAAGGUAUUCCGGUAGACGAUGGGGAUGCG
This 229-nucleotide ribosomal RNA is filed under the name uncultured bacterium. RNAcentral's name for it is "partial 16S ribosomal RNA". It matches the Rfam family "Bacterial small subunit ribosomal RNA", at positions 15 to 235 of the family's 1533-position model. The record is from RNAcentral.